UGGGGGAUAUUGCACAAUGGGGGGAACCCGUGAUGCAGCGACGCCGCGUGAGUGAAGGAGUACUUCGGUAUGUAAAGCUCUAUCAGCAGGGAAGAAGCAAGACGGUACCUGACCAAGAAGCCCCGGCUAACUACGUGCC
This 139-nucleotide ribosomal RNA is filed under the name uncultured bacterium. RNAcentral describes it as "partial 16S ribosomal RNA". It matches the Rfam family "Bacterial small subunit ribosomal RNA", at positions 355 to 509 of the family's 1533-position model. The record is from RNAcentral.